UACGAAGGGGGCUAGCGUUGCUCGGAAUCACUGGGCGUAAAGGGUGCGUAGGCGGGUCUUUUAAGUCAGGGGUGAAAUCCUGGAGCUCAACUCCAGAACUGCCCUUGAUACUGGCGAUCUCGAGUUCGGGAGAGGUGAGUGGAACUGCGAGUGUAGAGGUGAAAUUCGUAGAUAUUCGCAAGAACACCGGUGGCGAAGGCGGCAUCCUGGACCGAUACUGACGCUGAGGAGCGAAAGCCAGGGGAGCAAACGGG
RNAcentral lists this ribosomal RNA (254 nucleotides) under uncultured bacterium. RNAcentral describes it as "partial 16S ribosomal RNA". It matches the Rfam family "Bacterial small subunit ribosomal RNA", at positions 524 to 776 of the family's 1533-position model. The record is from RNAcentral.